Molecule: small RNA, 125 nt
Filed under: Marmota monax (woodchuck)
Lineage: Eukaryota; Metazoa; Chordata; Mammalia; Rodentia; Sciuridae
Source: RNAcentral
GCCAGGCAUGGUGACGCACACCUGUAAUCCCAGCAGCUUGGGAGGCUGAGGCAGGAGGAUCGAGAGUUCAAAGCCAGCCUCAGCAACAGCGAGGUGAUAAACAACUCAGUGAGACCCUGUCUCUA